GAACUGGGAAGACUGCAACCUUCUGCUCUGGGAUACUUCAGCAACUUGAUUAUGGUCUAAUCCAGUGUCAGGCAUUAGUUCUGGCUCCGACUAGGGAGCUGGCUCAACAAAUCGAGAAGGUUAUGAGAGCUCUUGGAGAUUAUCUUGGUGUCAAGGUUCAUGCUUGUGUAGGAGGGACAAGUGUCCGUGAAGAUCAACGCAUUCUUCAAGCUGGU
This 215-nucleotide unclassified non-coding RNA is filed under the name Hevea brasiliensis (rubber tree). Lineage: Eukaryota; Viridiplantae; Streptophyta; Magnoliopsida; Malpighiales; Euphorbiaceae. The record is from RNAcentral.